GAUGAACGCUAGCUACAGGCUUAACACAUGCAAGUCGAGGGGAAACGAUGAGAGAGCUUGCUCUCUUAGUCGUCGACCGGCGCACGGGUGAGUAACGCGUAUCCAACCUGCCUCUGACCAAGGGAUAACCCGUCGAAAGUCGGACUAAUACCUUAUGCAGUCGUCGGAAGUCAUCUGAUGACGACGAAAGAUUUCAUCGGUGAGAGAUGGGGAUGCGUCUGAUUAGCUUGUUGGCGGGGUAACGGCCCACCAAGGCGACGAUCAGUAGGGGUUCUGAGAGGAAGGGCCCCCACAUUGGAACUGAGACACGGUCCAAACUCCUACGGGAGGCAGCAGUGAGGAAUAUUGGUCAAUGGGCGUAAGCCUGAACCAGCCAAGUAGCGUGCAGGAUGACGGCCCUAUGGGUUGUAAACUGCUUUUAUGCGGGGAUAAAGUGAGGGACGUGUCCUUCAUUGCAGGUACCGCAUGAAUAAGGACCGGCUAAUUCCGUG
Molecule: ribosomal RNA, 491 nt
Filed under: uncultured bacterium
Lineage: Bacteria
Description: partial 16S ribosomal RNA
Rfam family: Bacterial small subunit ribosomal RNA
Source: RNAcentral